RNAcentral lists this ribosomal RNA (206 nucleotides) under Nacobbus aberrans. RNAcentral describes it as "partial 18S ribosomal RNA". It matches the Rfam family "Eukaryotic small subunit ribosomal RNA", at positions 1642 to 1831 of the family's 1831-position model. The record is from RNAcentral. Lineage: Eukaryota; Metazoa; Nematoda; Chromadorea; Rhabditida; Pratylenchidae.
UGAUUACGUCCCUGCCCUUUGUACACACCGCCCGUCGCUGCCCGGGACUGAGCCAUUUCGAGAAACUUGGGGACUGCUGAUCCGGUGGCUUCGGCCUCCGCUUCGGUGGAAACCAAUUUAAUCGCAGUGGCUUGAACCGGGCAAAAGUCGUAACAAGGUAGCUGUAGGUGAACCUGCUGCUGGAUCAUUACACGUACCGUGAUGGU